GAGAUGCGGCCGUGCUGUAUGUCAUCCGUGGAUCCUCCAGGUGAUCAUGCCAUCGCAGGAUCCUUCCACUGCAUGCACUGGUGAUCCUUAAACCCAGGAGGUCUACAGACGCUCAUGGCGAUCCACUCGCGGCGUGCCAUUGGAUCCCGGUGCAACAAAGAAGCUUUGUGCGGCCGCUUCCCCCGCGUUCCUGUUGUGAAACAAUGAGAGAAGUUUACACCCCGAAAAAAAUGUCCAAAACAACAUUUAAUGAACAGAUGCACGAUGUGAUCUAACAGCAGAUCUCCAGCAGGGGUGGAUCUAUCAGGGACUAGAACCCACAACUCAACACACAUCCAAAUCUCCCUGUGUUUUCACAUGCGUAUUCAUCUCCUUUCAAUUAAAGUUGCCCUCCAAUAGGGUGGUCUACAGCCCACACUAGAUCCUGUAGGCUGGGUAUUGGAAAUGAUCUGGCAGGGGUCUGGUUGGGAUUAAGCACCAAUUUAAAGGCACACUAGGCCACUCAGGUACUUGUCAUCUCAAGACUGGACACGCUUCCAGAAUCUUCCCUAUUCUGGCACCAAAAAUGGUGGAAUGAACUUCCAUAUAAUGUCGGAAUGUCCGAGUCUUCAAACAAGAGGGUCUUAAAUAUAUACAUCAAUCAGGUAUAACAUUAUGACCACCUGCCUAAUAUUGUGUUGGUCUCUGAAUUAACUUUUUCAACAGUUUGAGCUACAGGAGUUCAUCUGUUGGAUUGGACCACACGGACCAGCCUUCGCUCCUGCUUACUGCAGACCAGGAACAGCCCACAACAACUGCAGUUUUGGAUAUGUGCUGAUCCAGACGUCUAGACGUCACAAUUUGGCCCUCGUCGAACUCGCUCAUAACCUUUUUCCUGCUUCUAACAUAUCAGUUUUGAGGACCAAAUGUUCACUGGCUGCUUAAUAUAUCCCACCCACUAACAGGUGCCAUGGCAAAGUGAUAGUGUUAUUCACUUCACCAGUCAUAAUGUUAUGACUG
Silurus meridionalis is the source of this 999-nucleotide long non-coding RNA. RefSeq lists it as uncharacterized. The transcript has 4 exons. The record is from RefSeq and is a predicted model, not a curated record. Lineage: Eukaryota; Metazoa; Chordata; Actinopteri; Siluriformes; Siluridae.